Molecule: long non-coding RNA, 4071 nt
Organism: Ruditapes philippinarum (Manila clam)
Lineage: Eukaryota; Metazoa; Mollusca; Bivalvia; Venerida; Veneridae
Exons: 5
Source: RefSeq, a predicted model, not a curated record
AUGGCGCAUGAUGUCCAAUGAUCAGCUAUGGGAUUGACUAUGUUUAUACCUGUCUGAUAAUGCAGGUAUAUAAAUUAACAAUUUUUAUCUAGGGGCCCAGACUAUUUUACAUUAGUUAUUUAGGCAUUUCUUCCAGAAAGCUUGGGCCCUACCCAAAAGUUAGGACCAUUGCGACUGGAUCCCUGUUAUUUUAUAUCCCUGUAAUGGAAGCACGAUGGGCACACUAACAAAGUCUGCACUCUUACCCUAUGCUACGACCGGAUGUAAACAAUACGUUCGCACAGGGCAUGCGCGAUUGUUAACUCCCACCCAUUUUAUUCGAUUAAAUUCUAGAACAACCUCUACUUUCGGUUUCAAUUUUGCUGACAAGGAACAGUUUGAGUCAACGUAAGUGUUAAUUUUAAUAGCAAUGUCCAAAACUUUGCACUACACGGCGUAAUUUUCAUUACAUAUCGGGUAUUAUUACCGUCAUGGUAGUUUUUAUUCCAGUCGGUCAAAAUGACGGUACACAUUUACAUGUAAACAAACAGAUUUAACUUCUCAGACAAUUUAAAUAAGGAAUGGACACACGGUAAACUCUGUUGCAACGUAAAGUAUAUUCAUAAACCUACUGUUUGUGAAAAAUUGUCUCCGUGUUCAAAUAAAUUUCAAAAACGGGGAAAAAAGCCGAUACCCUGCAACUGAACCUUAUUAUUCUGACGAAUUAAAUUGACUUUAUAACGCUCGUAUACAAUUAUUUAUUGAUCGAUUUUCAUUAUAUUUAUUUUGUAAUACCUAUUAUUCAAUAUGCAAUCACACAAAACCAAGUUUUCCUACAUUCAAUGAAAUUGUAAGUUAGGACGAGCUUUCAAAACGAACAGAUAGCAAUUUCCAACACGCUUAACGAAACUCCAACAUGGCGGCUCAACCUGGCUCAUUUGCAUAAUUUAUUCAUAAACGCAGGAGCAUAGAACUUUCAGUUUGUUAGUGGGGCAGGUAUUAAUAAUUGUCAUUUAACAGUAACUGUAUAAACCUUUUGAUUGAAAUUUCCUAUAAACGGUUAAAACCCCCAGCCCCCUAAAUUUCUUUAUUUUCAAUAUUUUAUAAACUUUAGAAUGAAAAGACAAAUAAACAUAUAUAGUUCUAUAUUAUUAUCACACAUUUAUAAUAAAUGUUCCUUUGUAAGGGUGCAACUAUUCAGCUUUCUCUGGAUUUGAUUCUUAAUUCCAUAUAUUUCGAUUUGAUUAUUGAGGCUAAGUUAACAUUAAUUUUAUAUAGGGAAUACUUUAAAAAUAAUUUUUAACUACACUUAAACUUUAUUUAGGACAGCAAAGAAAAACAUACUGAAUAAAACUUUUAAACAACAUAGCUAGAAAACAGAAACCAUUAUCAUGUUACAUUCAACGUGUUUUGAUUUGGAUAUUAGCAAGAACACGUUGUCAAGUAAAGAAACGCUUAUAUUAUAUAUAAUAUUCAAAUAUAAAACAUUCAAUUAAUAUCAGAAAGUCAAAGUGUUUUUCCCCUACUUUGAGAAUGGUGCUGGUACAAUUAACGGUACCGGACAGAUUGGGAAAAAAUCCAUCGGUUUGACUUAAAUUGGGAAUUUUAUUUUAGAUGCAAAAUAUUUAUUGGGAAUUUCUUUUAUCCAGGAAGGUGAUGAAAAUUUUGCAUAAUUAUACACUUUAAAAUCAUGUAUUAUUAACUUUAAAGCUUAUUUUUGCUGCUUGAGGUUGAAAAAAAAAUUGAUAAUCAUAACAAUUGUACAUAAAUAAUGUUUAGUAGGUGUGAAACAUAAAGGGGAGCGGUGGCCUAUUGGUUAAGGUGUCUGCCUCUCAACCCAGAGAUCAUGGGUUCGAGCCCUACACGGGUCACGACCAUGUUUCUUCAUAUGACACCAGUACUGGUUGGUUCCAGGAAGCGGACUCGAAAGUGAUUGAUAUAAGUUGCAAGAACUUGUUUCGCAAUCGAGCUAAAAUAAAUAUGCAGGGCUUUUUUUUCACAGUUUGGGGAAGCAGCCCAGCCCUUAAUUUUGGGGAAAAAUUACAUGGUAUAUUUGCAAAAGGGGAAGAAAAAACUUAAUGUAAAUUCAAUUUUUGGGGAAAACUGCAUGAUUUUAAAGAAAUUUUCUUUGGGGAAGCAGCCCUAUACCGGCCCCUGUUAUAGAAGGUAAAAAGGCCCUGAUAUGUUUAAAACCUUAAACAUAAAGUACGAAAUGAACUGGGUACGAAUAUCACUCAUGUGGUUUUACUUGGUUUUUAUCGUAUAUCACUUAUCAAUACGGAAGGCUCCGAGACAUGCAUUACUGUUUUUAGAGGUAAUUUUCAGUGUUAAAUUUGGAAUUUAUCAGUCAUGAAUUGGAAAAUUUGCUGUCUAUUUUCUAUUGGGAACGGUGCCGUUUUCCGGUAUCAGUUAUAUAAGGAAAAAUACCGGGUUGUUGUUAAGUUUAGUCAUUGACUAGAUUUCUACCAGAAUUUUUUUGUUUUUACUUUUCUUGUGCAAGUUGUGGUUAUAGAGUGUGAUGAACAUAUUGACUCUUACUUUGUAAAACGCUUAAAUACAAAGACAGUUGCUAAAAAAUAUCAAAAUCUCAAGUUUGUUUUGCCCCUGUCUUGCAUAUCUGUAAUGGAAGAACAGUUAUUAUGGAUAAAUACAGGUACUUCAAUAGAAUGUAAUUUUGGGUACUGUCAGAUCUACAUGUUAGGCUACAAGUUUCUUCUCAUAAUUACAUAUUUAACAACUAGUAUGGCUAAUGAGUACAAAAUUUUGGAGGUGUUACACUACAAGGCAGAAGAGAAUAUUUGUCCUUGCAAGCAGUCUUGAAGACCUUCUGAAGAAAGCUGGUGACAAGCAACAGUUGCAAGGAGGAAGUUUGAUUGUUGUGCUGGAAAAAGAUGUGACAGAAAUGGAAGAAAAAGCCAUCCUUUACAUAUUCAAAACUAAGUAUUGAUGCUUCUAGAAGACCAACAAUUAUGAGAACCAGAUAUUCCAAAAGACACUGUUGUAAUGUUUGGGCAGACACCCAAGAUGCCAACAUGUCAAAGACUGAGACAGAGUCCACAACUGUUACCAUAGCGACAGAAAUUGUAACACCAUCUUAUGUUGUUGGAAAUUAAAUUAAUUCUUGCAGUAGGCCACAUCCAACCGUUUGUUGACAAUCUAGAGAUAUUGUUUGAAGCAGUAGCUACACUUAAACCUGGAGGAAAAGAGUGCAAAGAUGAUUUGGACGUUAUAAGAGCCAUAGAAAGUAAUACAGGAUUCAAACAUGGAAAAGGGUGCAAGACUAGAUAAAUUGUAGUUCUACAUAAGGAUAUUGAAGAAGCUAAUCUGUUAAAGGUCCUGUCAUCACAGCCUAAUACUCCUCCAAGUGAAGCCUUGUUUUUAUUUUUAACAACAUAGAACUGGACAAACAGUAUAUUGUUGGAGACCAGUGCAAGAUACCACUUGAGACAGAUAGCCUCAUGGAAGGGCUAUUCUUAUUGAUAAGCUGGUAUUAUAUAAUGGAUCUAGAAAAUCCCACUGCUUUUCACAACUCCUUGGAUUCAUGCAACAAACAGUAUUUAAACAAGCCUUUCUUAGUCACAAGUCGGCUGGGUAUUUACACUUUGUGGAACAAUUGGAAAAACUAAUGAACAAAUAGAACCAACAUUUUAAAUUAAAUUCAACCUUCUGUGUCAUGGACAUAUUAUUGACUUCUUAACAGCUUACAUUUUACCAUGAAAAAACCUGCUUUUUUUUGCACUUACAAAAACAAAGGUACAGAAUAGCUGUGUGGUAACCAUCAGCUGAUCAGUGCCUUUAUUUUUGCUGCAUAUAUGGUGCAAUCCCUCCCCUUCCAGGCUUCCUUAAUCAGACAUUGAAAUCCUCUUGAUGUCUGAACAUGAAGCUGUAUAUUUUGGCUCUAUUUCAAAUAGCAAAUGUCAAGUGUCAAUAUUUUUCAAAACAGCUAAGACUAUGCUUCUUUUUAGGAACUUUUAAAUCCAGUGAUUUAUCAAAUUAUUAUUCACUAGCAGAAAAGAUUGACUUAAUAAUGCAGUGUUUAAACACUAAUUUUAUUAUUUAUGACAUCAGUAUGUUAUUGCAGACUGUGACAUU